UCUGGGUGUGGUGGCACAUGGCUGCAGCCCCAGCCACUCUGGAGGCUGAGGUGGGAGUAUUGUUUGAGCCCAGGAGUUCUGGGCUGUACUGCACUAUGCCAAUAGGGUAUCCACACUAAGUAUGGUGUCAGUAUGAUGAUUUCCCUGGAACAGGGGGCUAUAAGUUUCCUAAAGAGGGGUGAAGCAUCCCAGGGUGGAAACAGAGCAGGUCAAAACUCCCAUGCUAAUCAAAUGUGGAAUUGUGCCUGUGAAUAGCCACUGCACUCAGUCUGGGUGACAUAGUGAGACCCUAUAUCU
This 297-nucleotide signal recognition particle RNA is filed under the name Theropithecus gelada (gelada). RNAcentral's name for it is "Metazoan signal recognition particle RNA (ENSTGEG00000025931.1)". It matches the Rfam family "Metazoan signal recognition particle RNA". Rfam says of the family: The signal recognition particle (SRP) is a universally conserved ribonucleoprotein. It is involved in the co-translational targeting of proteins to membranes. The eukaryotic SRP consists of a 300-nucleotide 7S RNA and six proteins: SRPs 72, 68, 54, 19, 14, and 9. The record is from RNAcentral. Lineage: Eukaryota; Metazoa; Chordata; Mammalia; Primates; Cercopithecidae.